This 119-nucleotide non-coding RNA is filed under the name Natronoflexus pectinivorans. Lineage: Bacteria; Pseudomonadati; Bacteroidota; Bacteroidia; Marinilabiliales; Marinilabiliaceae. The record is from RNAcentral.
GUAAGUUGAACCACCGGUGUCGUCUUACAGGAGCGGGCAUCAAACCACCUAAAGGUGCUGUGGUAAAGAGCCACGGUGCUGAGCGUUUAGGAAAAGACUAUCCACGAGAUAGUACAGGU